UGUAUUAUGUUUAAAGUUUUGAAAGCCAAACUGAAAUCAGAAAUUUACAGUAAAUAGGAAUAGUUUUGAAUUAUAAUAUAUAAACAGGUGUACAAAUGCAAGCCUAUUAUUAUUAUUACAAGACGUGACAAUUUAAGCCUUUAAAUAAAGCUAUAUAGCACACUCCAGUGGCUGUUUUUGUAAAUAACAGUUUUGUCGUUGUAUCGUUACUACAGUGACACCUAACGGUUGCCAAAGUCUAUUGCGCUCCACUCUACACAAGUGUUCCUAUUAGCAACCAAAGUCUGAUUGACACACCUGAGACUGAUAACCAAGUCAGGGAAACUCAGAGGAGAUACAAAUGAACCACAACAGUAUUUGGCUUUACCUCUAAGUAAAAUAUUGCACAAUUAUAUAUUUCUCUAGCCAGUGCUUUGGUCAAAUCAUGGCACUGAAUGUUAGCUUCUUCUUUGGGUUUCUCUUGCUUUGCUUUCAACUGUGCAAGGUGCAUGGAAGUUAUGUUUCCACUGAUCCACAAGGUGCCAUUGAGACCGAGUGUCGUGAUCGAUAUUUCUUGGUGUCUGUUGAUGUGGGUUUUUCAGGCCGUCUCCCAAGAUUUGAGGCUGUAGGUACGCUGCUUACUUGAUGUUAAUCUGUACCACAAAUUAUUACACAAUAUGUUUUAAUCCUCAUUAUCAGUACAUAUUUUUAAGUUGAAAAUGGAGUGCAUACAAUUAGUCAGGGUCAUGGAUCCAUGUGUGGCUACACGUUGAACUACUUGAACGGUCGGGCGUCUCUGAGGGCUUCCUAUUUCUCCUGCCACACCGAA
Molecule: long non-coding RNA, 808 nt
Organism: Megalobrama amblycephala (Wuchang bream)
Lineage: Eukaryota; Metazoa; Chordata; Actinopteri; Cypriniformes; Xenocyprididae
Exons: 3
Source: RefSeq, a predicted model, not a curated record